This is a long non-coding RNA of Fukomys damarensis (Damara mole-rat), 443 nucleotides long. RefSeq lists it as uncharacterized. The record is from RefSeq and is a predicted model, not a curated record. Lineage: Eukaryota; Metazoa; Chordata; Mammalia; Rodentia; Bathyergidae. The transcript has 3 exons.
CGCCACAUAGGGGUGGGACUCAACUUGCGUACGUCCCAGCAGCCUUAGCGAAUUUCCAAUUCGCUGAGUGCGCAUGUCGUCGCGUAGCUACGCGCCCCUCAGGAGCUAUAAAUUUGGGUGCUUUGGAGUAGUUCGGUCUUUCCAGCACCCUGAACUUGUGGUCUCUAUUAAUUCACUGAAUAUCCAAGAUAACUUUUUGUGGGGAUAAAGAAGAACCAUAUUGGACUUGCAGAGGACCUGGUUUUAUUUGGGCUCCUUGAAUUAGGGAGACUUGGUAAAUUGGUAAUGGUUACGUUGGGUUUGUGUUGUUUUCUGAUAAUGUUUUUUUGCAUUUGUCUCUUGGUUUUAUCUUUCUGAGACAAAGGGUGCCUACAGUUCAGGCUGGCCUUGAACUCAGCAUCCUCCUGCCUCAGCCUCCCAAGUGCUAUUGGGAAGUAGGAAGA